UACGGGAGGCAGCAGUGGGGAAUAUUGCACAAUGGGCGCAAGCCUGAUGCAGCCAUGCCGCGUGUAUGAAGAAGGCCUUCGGGUUGUAAAGUACUUUCAGCGGGGAGGAAGGCGAUGCGGUUAAUAACCGCGUCGAUUGACGUUACCCGCAGAAGAAGCACCGGCUAACUCCGUGCCAGCAGCCGCGGUAAUACGGAGGGUGCAAGCGUUAAUCGGAAUUACUGGGCGUAAAGCGCACGCAGGCGGUCUGUUAAGUCAGAUGUGAAAUCCCCGGGCUUAACCUGGGAACUGCAUUUUGAAACUGGCAGGCUUGAGUCUUGUAGAGGGGGUAGAAUUCCAGGUGUAGCGGUGAAAUGCGUAGAGAUCUGGAGGAAUACCGGUGGCGAAGGCGGCCCCUGGGACAAAGACUGACGCUCAGGUGCGAAAGCGUGGGGAGCAAACAGGAUUAGGAUACC
RNAcentral lists this ribosomal RNA (455 nucleotides) under uncultured bacterium. RNAcentral describes it as "bacterial SSU rRNA". It matches the Rfam family "Bacterial small subunit ribosomal RNA", at positions 340 to 786 of the family's 1533-position model. The record is from RNAcentral.